GGGAAGGUGGCUCAGUGGUAGAGUACUUGCCUUGCAUGCAUGAGGCCCUGGGUUUGAUUCCUCACCACCACA
This 72-nucleotide transfer RNA is filed under the name Dipodomys ordii (Ord's kangaroo rat). It matches the Rfam family "tRNA". From Rfam's summary of the family: Transfer RNA (tRNA) molecules are approximately 80 nucleotides in length. Lineage: Eukaryota; Metazoa; Chordata; Mammalia; Rodentia; Heteromyidae. The record is from Rfam by way of RNAcentral.